Molecule: ribosomal RNA, 2894 nt
Filed under: Pseudomonas sp. R2-7-07
Lineage: Bacteria; Pseudomonadati; Pseudomonadota; Gammaproteobacteria; Pseudomonadales; Pseudomonadaceae
Description: 23S ribosomal RNA
Rfam family: Bacterial large subunit ribosomal RNA
Source: RNAcentral
GGUCAAGUGAAGAAGCGCAUACGGUGGAUGCCUUGGCAGUCAGAGGCGAUGAAAGACGUGGUAGCCUGCGAAAAGCUUCGGGGAGUCGGCAAACAGACUUUGAUCCGGAGAUGUCUGAAUGGGGGAACCCAGCCAUCAUAAGAUGGUUACCUUGCACUGAAUACAUAGGUGUAUGGAGCGAACCAGGGGAACUGAAACAUCUAAGUACCCUGAGGAAAAGAAAUCAACCGAGAUUCCCUUAGUAGUGGCGAGCGAACGGGGACUAGCCCUUAAGUGGCUUUGAGAUUAGCGGAACGCUCUGGAAAGUGCGGCCAUAGUGGGUGAUAGCCCUGUACGCGAAAAUCUCUUAGUCAUGAAAUCGAGUAGGACGGAGCACGAGAAACUUUGUCUGAAUAUGGGGGGACCAUCCUCCAAGGCUAAAUACUACUGACUGACCGAUAGUGAACUAGUACCGUGAGGGAAAGGCGAAAAGAACCCCGGAGAGGGGAGUGAAAUAGAUCCUGAAACCGUAUGCGUACAAGCAGUGGGAGCCUACUUUGUUAGGUGACUGCGUACCUUUUGUAUAAUGGGUCAGCGACUUAUUUUCAGUGGCGAGCUUAACCGAAUAGGGGAGGCGUAGCGAAAGCGAGUCUUAAUAGGGCGUCUAGUCGCUGGGAAUAGACCCGAAACCGGGCGAUCUAUCCAUGGGCAGGUUGAAGGUUGGGUAACACUAACUGGAGGACCGAACCGACUACCGUUGAAAAGUUAGCGGAUGACCUGUGGAUCGGAGUGAAAGGCUAAUCAAGCUCGGAGAUAGCUGGUUCUCCUCGAAAGCUAUUUAGGUAGCGCCUCAUGUAUCACUGUAGGGGGUAGAGCACUGUUUCGGCUAGGGGGUCAUCCCGACUUACCAAACCGAUGCAAACUCCGAAUACCUACAAGUGCCGAGCAUGGGAGACACACGGCGGGUGCUAACGUCCGUCGUGAAAAGGGAAACAACCCAGACCGUCAGCUAAGGUCCCAAAGUUAUGGUUAAGUGGGAAACGAUGUGGGAAGGCUUAGACAGCUAGGAGGUUGGCUUAGAAGCAGCCACCCUUUAAAGAAAGCGUAAUAGCUCACUAGUCGAGUCGGCCUGCGCGGAAGAUGUAACGGGGCUCAAACCAUACACCGAAGCUACGGGUAUCACGUAAGUGAUGCGGUAGAGGAGCGUUCUGUAAGCCUGUGAAGGUGAGUUGAGAAGCUUGCUGGAGGUAUCAGAAGUGCGAAUGCUGACAUGAGUAACGACAAUGGGUGUGAAAAACACCCACGCCGAAAGACCAAGGUUUCCUGCGCAACGUUAAUCGACGCAGGGUUAGUCGGUCCCUAAGGCGAGGCUGAAAAGCGUAGUCGAUGGAAAACAGGUUAAUAUUCCUGUACUUCUGGUUAUUGCGAUGGAGGGACGGAGAAGGCUAGGCCAGCUUGGCGUUGGUUGUCCAAGUUUAAGGUGGUAGGCUGAGAUCUUAGGUAAAUCCGGGAUCUUAAGGCCGAGAGCUGAUGACGAGUUGUCUUUUAGACGACGAAGUGGUUGAUGCCAUGCUUCCAAGAAAAGCUUCUAAGCUUCAGGUAACCAGGAACCGUACCCCAAACCGACACAGGUGGUUGGGUAGAGAAUACCAAGGCGCUUGAGAGAACUCGGGUGAAGGAACUAGGCAAAAUGGCACCGUAACUUCGGGAGAAGGUGCGCCGGUGAGGGUGAAGGACUUGCUCCGUAAGCUCAUGCCGGUCGAAGAUACCAGGCCGCUGCGACUGUUUAUUAAAAACACAGCACUCUGCAAACACGAAAGUGGACGUAUAGGGUGUGACGCCUGCCCGGUGCCGGAAGGUUAAUUGAUGGGGUUAGCUAACGCGAAGCUCUUGAUCGAAGCCCCGGUAAACGGCGGCCGUAACUAUAACGGUCCUAAGGUAGCGAAAUUCCUUGUCGGGUAAGUUCCGACCUGCACGAAUGGCGUAACGAUGGCGGCGCUGUCUCCACCCGAGACUCAGUGAAAUUGAAAUCGCUGUGAAGAUGCAGUGUAUCCGCGGCUAGACGGAAAGACCCCGUGAACCUUUACUAUAGCUUUGCACUGGACUUUGAAUUUGCUUGUGUAGGAUAGGUGGGAGGCUUUGAAGCGUGGACGCCAGUUCGCGUGGAGCCAACCUUGAAAUACCACCCUGGCAACUUUGAGGUUCUAACUCAGGUCCGUUAUCCGGAUCGAGGACAGUGUAUGGUGGGUAGUUUGACUGGGGCGGUCUCCUCCUAAAGAGUAACGGAGGAGUACGAAGGUGCGCUCAGACCGGUCGGAAAUCGGUCGUAGAGUAUAAAGGCAAAAGCGCGCUUGACUGCGAGACAGACACGUCGAGCAGGUACGAAAGUAGGUCUUAGUGAUCCGGUGGUUCUGUAUGGAAGGGCCAUCGCUCAACGGAUAAAAGGUACUCCGGGGAUAACAGGCUGAUACCGCCCAAGAGUUCAUAUCGACGGCGGUGUUUGGCACCUCGAUGUCGGCUCAUCACAUCCUGGGGCUGAAGCCGGUCCCAAGGGUAUGGCUGUUCGCCAUUUAAAGUGGUACGCGAGCUGGGUUUAGAACGUCGUGAGACAGUUCGGUCCCUAUCUGCCGUGGACGUUUGAGAUUUGAGAGGGGCUGCUCCUAGUACGAGAGGACCGGAGUGGACGAACCUCUGGUGUUCCGGUUGUCACGCCAGUGGCAUUGCCGGGUAGCUAUGUUCGGAAUAGAUAACCGCUGAAAGCAUCUAAGCGGGAAACUAGCCUCAAGAUGAGAUCUCACUGGGACCUUGAGUCCCCUGAAGGGCCGUCGAAGACUACGACGUUGAUAGGUUGGGUGUGUAAGCGCUGUGAGGCGUUGAGCUAACCAAUACUAAUUGCCCGUGAGGCUUGACCAUAU